Molecule: long non-coding RNA, 1144 nt
Organism: Oncorhynchus tshawytscha (Chinook salmon)
Lineage: Eukaryota; Metazoa; Chordata; Actinopteri; Salmoniformes; Salmonidae
Source: Ensembl
GGGUAGGUUACUUUCUUAACAUAAUCCGUUAAUUACUAAACUCAGGGUCCUGAAGAGACGUUUCUAUUUUUGCUGUCUGUAAAAGAUAAUUGGUAAAAAUCCAAAUAACUUCAUAGAUCUUCAUUGUAAAGGGUUUAAACACGGUUUCCCAUGCUUGUUCAAUGAACCAUAAACAAGUAAUGAACAUGCACCUGUGGAACGGUUGUUAAGACACUAACGGCUUACAGACGGAAGGUCAUUAAGGUCACAGUUAUGAAAAUUUAGGACACUGAAGAGGCCUUUCUACUGACUCUGGGGGGAAAAAACACAAAGAAAGAUGCCCAGGGUCCCUACUCAUCUGCGUGAACGUGCAUUAGGCAUGCUGCAAGGAGGCAUGAGGACUGCAGAUGUGGCUAGGGCAAUAAAUUGCAUUGUCGGUACUGUGAGACGCCUAAGACAGGCUACAGGGAGACAGGACGGACAGCUGAUCGUCCUUGCAGUGGCAGACCACGUGUAACAACACCUGCACAGGAUCGGUAUAUCUGAACAUCACACCUGUAGGACGGGUACAGGAUGACAACAACUGCCCGAGUUACACCAGGAACGCACAAUCAUUCCCAUCAGUGCUCAGACUGUGCACAAUAGGCUGAGAGAGGCUUGACAGGGCUUGUAGGCCUGUUGUAAGGCAGGUCCUCACCAGACAUCACCGGCAACAAUGUCGCCUAUGGGCACAAACCCACCGUCGCUGGACCAGACAGGACUGGCAAAAAUUGCUGUUCACUGACGAGUUGCGGUUUUGUCUCACCAGGAGUAAUGGUUGGAUUUGCGUUUAUCGUUGAAGGAAUGAGUGUUAAACUGAAGCCUGUACUCUGGAGCGGGAUCGAUUUGGAGGUGGAGGGUCCGCUGUGCGUUACAGGGAAAACAUCCUCAUCCCUCAUGUGGUACCCUUCCUGCAGGCUCAUUCUGACAUGGUCCUCCAGCAUGACAAUGCCAGAUACUGUUACUUUUGAUUUUGACCACCCCUUUGUUCAGGGACACAUUAUUCCAUUUCUGUUAGUCACGUCUGUGGAACUUUGUUCAGUUUGUCUGUUGUUGAAUCUUAUGUUCAUACAAAUAUUUACACAUGUUAAUUAAGUUUGCUGAAAAUAAAUGCAGUUGACAGUGA